This 838-nucleotide ribosomal RNA is filed under the name uncultured bacterium. Its description in RNAcentral is "bacterial SSU rRNA". It matches the Rfam family "Bacterial small subunit ribosomal RNA", at positions 56 to 943 of the family's 1533-position model. The record is from RNAcentral.
UGCNGUCGNNCGCCCUCUUCGGAGGGAGUGGCAGACGGGUGAGUAACACGUGGGAAUCUACCUAUCUCUGCGGAACAACACAUAGAAAUGUGUGCUAAUACCGCAUACGCCCUUCGGGGGAAAGAUUUAUCGGAGAUAGAUGAGCCCGCGUUUGAUUAGCUAGUUGGUGAGGUAAUGGCUCACCAAGGCGACGAUCAAUAGCUGGUCUGAGAGGAUGAUCAGCCACACUGGGACUGAGACACGGCCCAGACUCCUACGGGAGGCAGCAGUGGGGAAUAUUGGACAAUGGGCGCAAGCCUGAUCCAGCCAUGCCGCGUGAGUGAUGAAGGCCCUAGGGUUGUAAAGCUCUUUCAACGGUGAAGAUAAUGACGGUAACCGUAGAAGAAGCCCCGGCUAACUUCGUGCCAGCAGCCGCGGUAAUACGAAGGGGGCUAGCGUUGUUCGGAAUAACUGGGCGUAAAGCGCACGUAGGCGGAUUGGAAAGUUAGAGGUGAAAUCCCAGGGCUCAACCCUGGAACUGCCUUUAAAACUAUCAGUCUAGAGGUCGAGAGAGGUGAGUGGAAUUCCGAGUGUAGAGGUGAAAUUCGUAGAUAUUCGGAGGAACACCAGUGGCGAAGGCGGCUCACUGGCUCGAUACUGACGCUGAGGUGCGAAAGUGUGGGGAGCAAACAGGAUUAGAUACCCUGGUAGUCCACACCGUAAACGAUGGAAGCUAGCUGUCAGAANGNAUACNUUUUGGUGGCGCAGCUAACGCAUUAAGCUUCCCGCCUGGGGAGUANNGUCGCAAGAUUAAAACUCAAAGGAAUUGANNGGGCCCGCACAAGCGGNGGAGCAUGUG